Non-coding RNA from Corchorus olitorius, 119 nucleotides. The record is from Rfam. NCBI's taxonomy places the organism in Eukaryota, Viridiplantae, Streptophyta, Magnoliopsida, Malvales, Malvaceae.
GGGUUCGAUCAUACCAGCACUAAUGCACCGGAUCCGAUCAGAUUUCCACAGUUAAGCACGCUUGGGCGAGAGUAGUACUAGGAUGGGUGACCUACUGGGAAGACCUCGUGUUGCACCCC